AUUCCGGUAGCUCAGUUGGUAGAGCAGUGGCCUCUUAAGCCUCAGCGCGUGGGUUCGAGUCCCACCUGGAAUAC
RNAcentral lists this transfer RNA (74 nucleotides) under Streptomyces phage Immanuel3. RNAcentral describes it as "tRNA-Lys". It matches the Rfam family "tRNA". From Rfam's summary of the family: Transfer RNA (tRNA) molecules are approximately 80 nucleotides in length. Their secondary structure includes four short double-helical elements and three loops (D, anti-codon, and T loops). RNAcentral also lists the same sequence under 6 other names. The record is from RNAcentral. Lineage: Duplodnaviria; Heunggongvirae; Uroviricota; Caudoviricetes.